UGUGUAGGUGGCUGAGAUAGUCAAGGAUGAAAUCCCGAGGCUCAACUUCGGAACUGUCCUUGAUACUGCUCAGCUUGAGGGUAGUUGAGGAAGACGGAAUUCCCGGUGGAGCGGUGAAAUGCGUAGAUAUCGGGAGGAACACCAGAGGCGAAGGCGGUCUUCUGGGCUAUUCCUGACACUGAAACACGAAAGCUAGGGGAGCGAACG
Molecule: ribosomal RNA, 207 nt
Filed under: uncultured bacterium
Lineage: Bacteria
Description: partial 16S ribosomal RNA
Rfam family: Bacterial small subunit ribosomal RNA
Source: RNAcentral